This 618-nucleotide long non-coding RNA is filed under the name Capra hircus (goat). RNAcentral describes it as "lncRNA (ENSCHIG00000000955.1)". The record is from RNAcentral. Lineage: Eukaryota; Metazoa; Chordata; Mammalia; Artiodactyla; Bovidae.
UUAGCACAAAGUGAGGACUGCAACACUUGGGUUUGUUCACCAAGUCCAGAGCAAGGCGCCAGAAAUUCUUGGCUUCCUCUAAACAGCUGCACAGAAGCAGCGGCCAAACCCAUCUUGUGUUUGAUGAGUCAUCCCGCGUCAGCCCUGUGCUGCUCAGGCCUCUACGGGUGCUUCCUCAGCAGCUGCAUCUGGCUCAGGCUUUUUCCAGAAGACAAGGUAGCCAAGUACUCAAGCUCAGGCGUUGAUGGGCACUCUCUGACUCCAGGAUACCGCUUGAUGCGUGGGGGCCUUCCUGGUGGCCCAGAUGAUAAAGAAUCUGCCUGUAAUACAAGAGACCUGGGUUUAAUCUCCUGGAGAAGGGAAUGGUUACCCACUCCAGUAUUCUUGUCUGGAGAAUUCCAUGGACAGAGGAGGAUGGCAGGCUACAGUCCAUGGGGUCACAAAGAGUCAGACACAGCUGAGCGACUUUAACUUCACACUUGAUUCAUGGAUUUCCUUCUACAUAAAUGGGCUCAUAUUAUACAUUUUACAGAAGCUACUUUCUUCACCCAAUACUGUAUUUUGAGGACACUUUUUUAUAUCAAGGUAUGUAAAUGUUUAACAUCAUUUUUACUAGCC